UGAAAGGCUGAACAUAUAUUUGCAAUAGAAAAUGGAGGCAAAAGGGAUUGGUUUUGUAGUACAAAAUUUCAAUUGCUUUUGAACUCUCUCAAUACAGAUAUUGCAGCUGCUGGUCGGAAUUUGAGGUGGAAUAAACUACAAGUUGUUGGCUGCUUUUGAGGGGAAUUGGAGUUCAAGUAGAUGAGAAUUGCUGCCUUAAAUUAAUAUAUACUACCGAGGGGAUACACAAAAAGGUGACUGCCUUGGUGGAGAACAGAUAUACACGCCAACAUUGAAGAAAAAGGGACAGACCAUAGAAAAGACGAUUGGAACACAGCAAAAAAAAGGGGGAUUGAAUUCGUUUUAUGUACAUAGUAGAAAAAGGGCAGAGGCUUCAAUUAAAGGGAAGACAUAUACACACAGACGGUAGAACGCAGAAGGGUUGGUUGCAGAAUUAGUUCUUUAUACACACAAAUUAACAAAGGUAUGUCAAAUUUGAAGAAAAAUACACACGCACAAAUUCGAUAAAAUCCACCGCCACGGAUUUGAACUUCACACUUCACCAACGCCACACAGCUAAUGCUUCCGCUUCUUGUCCCUCACUUCGCACACGCUCCACCGCCACGAAUUCACGCUUCUACUUCGAAUGGAAAUAUGGAAAUGGAAGGGUUUGCACUUUGCAGCCAGUUUCUUGGGUUGGAUUUGGGUUAGGGGAAAUAUGGAAAUGGAAG
RNAcentral lists this long non-coding RNA (710 nucleotides) under Olea europaea subsp. europaea. Lineage: Eukaryota; Viridiplantae; Streptophyta; Magnoliopsida; Lamiales; Oleaceae. The record is from RNAcentral.